This 379-nucleotide ribosomal RNA is filed under the name uncultured cyanobacterium. RNAcentral's name for it is "bacterial SSU rRNA". It matches the Rfam family "Bacterial small subunit ribosomal RNA", at positions 376 to 770 of the family's 1533-position model. The record is from RNAcentral. Lineage: Bacteria; Bacillati; Cyanobacteriota.
CGAAAGCCUGACGGAGCAAGACCGCGUGAGGGAGGAAGGCUCUUGGGUUGUAAACCUCUUUUCUCAGGGAAGAAGCUCUGACGGUACCUGAGGAAUCAGCCUCGGCUAACUCCGUGCCAGCAGCCGCGGUAAUACGGAGGAGGCAAGCGUUAUCCGGAAUUAUUGGGCGUAAAGCGUCCGCAGGUGGCGAUUCAAGUCUGCUGUCAAAGCACGGGGCUUAACUCCGUUAAGGCAGUGGAAACUGAAUGGCUAGAGUGCCGUAGGGGUAGAGGGAAUUCCCGGUGUAGCGGCGAAAUGCGUAGAUAUCAGAAGGAACACCAACGGCGAAGGCAGCUCACUGGACAAUUACUGACGCUGAGGGACGAAAGCGUGGGGAGCG